This 332-nucleotide ribosomal RNA is filed under the name uncultured bacterium. RNAcentral describes it as "bacterial SSU rRNA". It matches the Rfam family "Bacterial small subunit ribosomal RNA", at positions 28 to 334 of the family's 1533-position model. The record is from RNAcentral.
GAUGAACGCUGGCGGCGUGCUUAAUACAUGCAAGUCGAGCGAAGCACUUUAACGGAAUUCUUCGGAAGGAAGGUAAAGUGACUGAGCGGGCGGACGGGUGAGUAACGCGUGGGUAACCUGCCUUAUACAGGGGGAUAACAGUUAGAAAUGGCUGCUAAUACCGCAUAAUAAAGCAGAUCGCAUGAUCAGCUUUUGAAAGGCGGCGUAAGCUGUCGCUAAGGGAUGGCCCCGCGGUGCAUUAGCUAGUUGGUAAGGUAACGGCUUACCAAGGCGACGAUGCAUAGCCGAGUUGAGAGACUGAUCGGCCACAUUGGGACUGAGACACGGCCCAA